UCACCUCUUUGGUGUGUACUUUUCACUCACAGCUCAUCUAAACUGGGAUAAGCUAAUCGCCGUGACUACCACACUGGAUGAGAUGGUUGGAUGGCAUCACUGACUCAAUGGACAUGAGUUUCAGGAAACUCUGGGAGAUGGUGAAGAAUAGCUCACGCUGUCCCCCACAUCAGAGCCCCACCCUCCCAGGGCAGCUGAGGACGCAGUGCUGGAGGAGCAAAUCAGGACAGUUACAGCAUGUGGGAUCUA
This is a long non-coding RNA of Capra hircus (goat), 249 nucleotides long. RefSeq lists it as uncharacterized. The record is from RefSeq and is a predicted model, not a curated record. The transcript has 3 exons. Lineage: Eukaryota; Metazoa; Chordata; Mammalia; Artiodactyla; Bovidae.